Phymastichus coffea is the source of this 2089-nucleotide RNA transcript. RefSeq lists it as uncharacterized. The transcript is spliced from 8 exons. The record is from RefSeq and is a predicted model, not a curated record. NCBI's taxonomy places the organism in Eukaryota, Metazoa, Arthropoda, Insecta, Hymenoptera, Eulophidae.
AGAAAUUCGCCGAGCUUCGAGACACACGACGAUUAUGCGAGCGUCACUAUCGGCGCGGGCUUAUCUAAAGCAUUCGACGAGAAAAAUCGAUUCGCGCUGUUCGCGUGCUGUCCCCUAUCUCGACGGAGUGGGACGAACGCGGAUGAGAACUUAUCGCCUUACCAUUGGCAUUGGACACUAGUUGGCCUCGCUCGAGAGCGCCCAGAAACCUGGCCGAUCGCGGAGUCGCGCCACUCGUUCCCUCGGCUUCGAGCGCCCGACCAUGGAGCACAAGUUCGUCUGCAUCAAGGACUUCGAGAAGCACGCCCUCGACAACUUAACGCCCGCGGUGCGCGACUACUACAAGAGCGGCGCCGGCGACGAGGACACCCUCAAGUGGAACAGGUCUGCCUUCAAGAAGCUGCGGAUCCGCGCGCGGGUGCUGCGCGACGUCUCCAAGAGGGACAUCGGCACCACGGCGCUGGGCGAGCGAGUGUCGAUGCCUCUGGGCGUCUCGCCGACCGCCAUGCAGAGGAUGGCCCAUCCCGACGGAGAGUGCGCCAACGCGAAAGCCGUGCAGGCGGCCGACACCGUGUUCAUCCUGUCGACCCUGUCGACGAGCAGCAUCGAGGAGGUGGCGGCCGCGGCGCCCCGCGCCAUCAAGUGGUUCCAGCUCUACGUGUACUUCGACCGGGGCGUGACCCUCGACCUGAUACGCAGAGCCGAGAGGGCAGGCUUCAAGGCCCUCGUGCUGACCGUCGACACGCCGCUCUUCGGCGACAGGCGGCUCGACAUCAGGAACAAGUUCGCGCUGCCGGCCCACCUCAAGUUCGCCAACUUCGAGGGGCACCUCUCGGACAAGAUCAACCGCUCGGAGGACGGCUCGGGGCUGAACGAGUACACCAACGACCUGUUCGACGACUCGCUCUCCUGGGACGACGUCGACUGGCUGAGAAGCGUCACCGAGCUGCCGAUCGUGCUGAAGGGCAUCCUCACGGCGGAGGACGCCGUGAUAGGCGUCGAGCGCGGGGCCAGCGCCAUUCUGGUCUCCAACCACGGCGCGCGCCAGAUCGACGGCGUUCCCGCGUCGAUCGAGGCGCUGCCGGAGGUCGCCAAGGCCGUCGGCGACAGGGUCGAGGUCUACAUGGACGGAGGCAUCACCCAGGGCACCGACGUCUUCAAAGCCCUGGCGCUGGGCGCCAAAAUGGUGUUCUUCGGGAGGCCGAUGCUGUGGGGACUGACGUGCGCCGGCGAACAAGGAGCUCGAGCCGUGCUGGAAAUGAUGAGGCGAGAAAUAACUCUGGCUUUCGCCCUGGCAGGCUGCUCCAACGUCAAGGAAGUCACCAGAGACAUGGUCGAACACGAGUCCACCUACAGUCGUCUCUGAUCCGACGAUAUCCAAGUAUUUCGUGCAUUCGGAGGACAAACAUCAGGCGACGCGAAGGGACAAACCGAUCAAAGCUACUUGUAACCGUAUACCCACUGAGAUACAUUAUCGUCGACACACACUUGUACAUUCGCUCGCUAUUGGCACAGUUUGGAAUACAGUCGAGUCGUUAGGAAAGACGUAGCCUAUUGCAGUACAAUGAUAUGGUAAGUCUCGUGGCUCGAAAUCGCGUUUUAGAUAGCUCUGUGGCCGACGAGCCUACUAAUCUUUUCUAUUCUAGACAAUUUUCAAGGUCCCCAAGUGGCAAGUAGAAUAUGACACAUCGGUCGCUGUACGUAUGCAGUCGAUAUAUAAUAAUAUUUAUAAACUAAUAUCAAGAGUUACGUUUGUUGGCACGACGAGCCAAAGAUACCCUAUUUGCAUACGAGUCUUAAAAAACGAUCGCUUCAUUUUUCUCUUCCCGUCUACUCAACUUGUCUCGCCUAUCACAGAAGUUCUCGCGCUAAUGUCACAUAUUUUUAUACGAAUUCUUAUCACACUAUUAUUUAUUAUAUUUACAACUUUCCUUAUGAUUACGUUAUUGCUUGCGUAAUGCUCGCCUUAUAAUAAAACCCUCGAUUGUUAUAUCCAUUUGGGGAUUGCAAUGAAUAUUUUAGAAGUAGGCAAACGUUAACUCAAACUCCAAGUAAGUACUUGUUAUGGAAGAGUGUUUGCGUAAGGCAG